RNAcentral lists this long non-coding RNA (922 nucleotides) under Salvia miltiorrhiza (redroot sage). RNAcentral's name for it is "long non-coding RNA (SMIL_LNC004705)". The record is from RNAcentral. Lineage: Eukaryota; Viridiplantae; Streptophyta; Magnoliopsida; Lamiales; Lamiaceae.
UUCUCCGUUUCUCGUUUCUGCAGGCGACUCAAAGUGUGCUGCGAAUAAACAGAUUCAUCAGCUGUUGUCCGAGGGCGAGGAGAAAAAAGUUGAAGACUCUUGAUAAAUCUAGAGAUGAUCCAUAUUGAUACAUGGUAUUUUGUUCUACUUUUUCAAUAUUGUGGCUCGAAAUACUCAGGAAUAAAGCUAAAUAAAGCUAAUCCAAAAGCUUAUUAAUAAACAUAUUUUGGUUUAAAGAGUUUAAUUUAUAUAAUCUUAGAUGCCCUUCUACGAUUUUCUUGUAUACUAAUGUCAUAUUGUACACUAACAUUGUUAAGAUCUAUUUGGACAUUCUUCAAGGGGCAUAAAGGGGUGGUACUGGUAACCAGUCUCAUUCAAACUCAAGCAGAUUACUUGUGAGUUCUCUUAGCUGAAACAGAAAGAAUAAGUAUUCUAAUUGUCCUCUAGCUAUCUUAUUUUGGAAAAAAUCUUGUUAAGGGGUCUUUUACACAAUGCAUAAGCCAAACUCACCUGGUAUGAUCAUCUAUAUAUUCUAUCUGUGGUCUUCUUAACUCGAAACCUAACGUGACGACUCUCAAUCUCAGGUACUCUUGGUGGAACUAUUGCGGGUAAAUGGAUCUAUUGAGUGGUGUUGACAUGGACAGAGUUAGUUUCGUAAGAUGUAUGGGCAGAUUAGUUUGUGGUAGUUUUCUUUUUUUGUUUUCUUUUGACUUUAUAUAGAAUUUUUUAGAGAACUUUAUUAGUAUUAUUGUACUUAGCAUUUUGAUUAUCUUCGUAUGAUAAUUUUAGUAAAAUGUUUGGAUGAUUGAUUAUUUAUAUAAUAUAUGUUUAGAAUUGUAGUAUUUGUUGUGUUUGAGGAUAUUGUAUAAUUUAUAUUUGGGAAAUUACAAAAAUAUGAAAAAAAAAACCAUUGUUGUAUUUC